This 253-nucleotide ribosomal RNA is filed under the name uncultured bacterium. RNAcentral's name for it is "partial 16S ribosomal RNA". It matches the Rfam family "Bacterial small subunit ribosomal RNA", at positions 524 to 776 of the family's 1533-position model. The record is from RNAcentral.
UACGUAGGAGACGAGCGUUGUCCGGAGUUACUGGGCGUAAAGGGCGCGCAGGCGGCCUGUCAGGUGUCUGGUGAAAGCUCCCGGCUUAACUGGGAGAGGUCCAGGCAAACCGUCAGGCUUGAGCGUCGGAGAGGGGCAUGGAAUUCCGGGUGGAGCGGUGAAAUGCGUAGAUAUCGCUUGGAACGCCAAAGGUGAAAACAGUCUGCUGGGGACUUGCUGACGCUGAGACACGAAAGCCAGGGGAGCGAACGGG